This 1090-nucleotide ribosomal RNA is filed under the name Fusarium sp. WF152. RNAcentral describes it as "eukaryotic LSU rRNA". The stretch from base 486 to 1090 matches the Rfam family "Eukaryotic large subunit ribosomal RNA", at positions 1 to 629 of the family's 3401-position model. Lineage: Eukaryota; Fungi; Ascomycota; Sordariomycetes; Hypocreales; Nectriaceae. The record is from RNAcentral.
CUCGUUGGUGACCAGCGGAGGGUCAUUACCGAGUUUACAACUCCCAAACCCCUGUGAACAUACCACUUGUUGCCUCGGCGGAUCAGCCCGCUCCCGGUAAAACGGGACGGCCCGCCAGAGGACCCCUAAACUCUGUUUCUAUAUGUAACUUCUGAGUAAAACCAUAAAUAAAUCAAAACUUUCAACAACGGAUCUCUUGGUUCUGGCAUCGAUGAAGAACGCAGCAAAAUGCGAUAAGUAAUGUGAAUUGCAGAAUUCAGUGAAUCAUCGAAUCUUUGAACGCACAUUGCGCCCGCCAGUAUUCUGGCGGGCAUGCCUGUUCGAGCGUCAUUUCAACCCUCAAGCACAGCUUGGUGUUGGGACUCGCGUUAAUUCGCGUUCCUCAAAUUGAUUGGCGGUCACGUCGAGCUUCCAUAGCGUAGUAGUAAAACCCUCGUUACUGGUAAUCGUCGCGGCCACGCCGUUAAACCCCAACUUCUGAAUGUUGACCUCGGAUCAGGUAGGAAUACCCGCUGAACUUAAGCAUAUCAAUAAGCGGAGGAAAAGAAACCAACAGGGAUUGCCCUAGUAACGGCGAGUGAAGCGGCAACAGCUCAAAUUUGAAAUCUGGCUCUCGGGCCCGAGUUGUAAUUUGUAGAGGAUACUUUUGAUGCGGUGCCUUCCGAGUUCCCUGGAACGGGACGCCAUAGAGGGUGAGAGCCCCGUCUGGUUGGAUGCCAAAUCUCUGUAAAGUUCCUUCAACGAGUCGAGUAGUUUGGGAAUGCUGCUCUAAAUGGGAGGUAUAUGUCUUCUAAAGCUAAAUACCGGCCAGAGACCGAUAGCGCACAAGUAGAGUGAUCGAAAGAUGAAAAGCACUUUGAAAAGAGAGUUAAAAAGUACGUGAAAUUGUUGAAAGGGAAGCGUUUAUGACCAGACUUGGGCUUGGUUAAUCAUCUGGGGUUCUCCCCAGUGCACUUUUCCAGUCCAGGCCAGCAUCAGUUUUCCCCGGGGGAUAAAGGCGGCGGGAAUGUGGCUCUCUUCGGGGAGUGUUAUAGCCCACCGUGUAAUACCCUGGGGGGGACUGAGGUUCGCGCAUCUGCAAGGAUGCUGC